This is a long non-coding RNA of Phyllopteryx taeniolatus (common seadragon), 1484 nucleotides long. RefSeq lists it as uncharacterized. The transcript is spliced from 3 exons. The record is from RefSeq and is a predicted model, not a curated record. NCBI's taxonomy places the organism in Eukaryota, Metazoa, Chordata, Actinopteri, Syngnathiformes, Syngnathidae.
AUGUGUUCCUUCUUUUUUAGAAAAAGUUAUGUGAUGAUAGCACGUGCUUUGGCAUCGACAAAAAAAGUAAACCUCGUGAAAAUCGGUUGAGAAAUGAGCACGUUUUGACUUCAUUUCAAUGUCCAUGCAUUGCUUUUGAAGGGAACAUCGACCUUCCCAACAUGGCUGCCACGUAGACACGUCGGUUAGCCGGGCUGCUACAGCACGCUGGCAUAUAGUCUUCAUAUCUAUGAUCAAACCCGCUACAAAAAUCAACAAAUAAAUAAAUAAAACCCAGCUAACGCUAAUGACCAGGUAAUGCGUGAUUUACAACCCUGACACCAUCGAUGAAAUCACAGUUGACCACACGGCGAAGGUUCAAUGCCUCCUGUAUGUUGUGUGUGUGACUAGGCAGGGGUUUGUAAUUGUGCGUACUGCGAAGCUAUGAACUAAUACGCUAAUUAGGCACUUGGAGCUAUCGCCAGCUAAUUGAAUAGCAAAUCUUUUUUUUUUUGCCCAAUGCAUCUGAUACGAUAUGAAAUGUCUCCGUAAAGUAUCUGAUGCAAAGAUAGAACGUGUUCAUAUGUGGUAUUUUUUAUUUUUUUUUAUAAGAGUAUGGUCUGCAAAAACCUUUAUUUCUAUCCAUCCAUCCAUUUUCUGAUCGGCUUCUCCUCACUAGGGUCGCGGGCGUGCCGGAGCCUAUCCCAGCUGUCAUCGGGCAGGAGGCGGGGUACACCCUCAACUGGUCGCCAGCCAAUCGCAGGGCACAUAGACACAAACAACCAUUUGCACUCACAGUCAUGCCUACGGGCAAUUUUAGAGUCUCCAAUGAAUGCAUGUUUUUGGGAUGUGCCCGGAGAAAAGCCACACAGGCACGGGGAGAACAUGCAAAUUCCACACGGGCAGGGCCGGGAUUGAACCCGGGCUUUUAUUUCUAGUCAAAUCUAAUUAAAAUUAGACGCAACACGCAAAAAAAAACAUGGCAGUGGAGUAUAUAUAUUAAAAAGUAUAUAUUUAUUGCCUCUAUAAAAUAGUAAUUGGGCAGACAGAAAAAUAUAUAAAAAAGACCUUAUUAAGCCUAAUACCUUAAAAAAGAACCUUAUUUCUCACCAUCUUUGUCCUUCAGGUGUUUAUUUACUAUUUUUUUAAGCAAACUCCAUGCGGGCUUUCAUGUGUCUCGCACUGAGGAGAGGCUUCCUUCCGUCGGGCCACUCUGCCAUAAAGCCCCGACUGGUGGAGGGCUGCAGUGAUGGCUCUUCUCCCCCAAUUGCUCAGUUCGGCCGGACGGCCAGCUCGAGGAAGGGUUCUGGUCGUCCCAAACGUCUUCCAUUUAAGGAUUACGGAGGCCACUGUGUUCUUAGCAACGCUGGACUCCAAUGAAGAUGUCGAACCAUCUCAAGGAUGAUCCGAAGAAAUGGACAGCACCAGAGUUCAAUAUAGGAGUGUCACAGCAAAGGGUCUGAAGACUUAGAUCAGAAUCAGAUCAGAAUCAUCUUUAUUUGCCA